Macrobrachium nipponense is the source of this 417-nucleotide long non-coding RNA. RefSeq lists it as uncharacterized. Lineage: Eukaryota; Metazoa; Arthropoda; Malacostraca; Decapoda; Palaemonidae. The transcript has 3 exons. The record is from RefSeq and is a predicted model, not a curated record.
GCUUUUAAUGAAGAUGAAGGUAGUUCUUAGCCAUUUUCACCAGUGACAACAUUGGAUUUACUUACCUCUUUAUCGUCAUGGUGAAAAAAUAAGUGAUCGGUACCAUGGAUCCGCAUCUUACGUUACCUUCUACUUGGAAGCCUUAUCAAGAGCCAGCACAGCAAUUGUGAUUUAUUGCAUUUAUAAACAGCAUACACGGACAGUAUGGGUUGUGAGGUGGUUAUUCGUUCGGCCUUACUGUAAAUUUGGCUUGUUGUAUACAAGUAAUAUACUUAAUACGCAAAGUGGACCAUUGCCUUUAGGGGUUCUUGAGAAUGGUAAUUGGAAGUUGGAGAUGCUUGACCAUCGCUUUGACCUCCAUUUAAGGCGAUCAUCUUCGACAGCAGCAACAACAACAUUGGGUUUAAUUUGAGCAGC